AGUUCAAACAAAAUUUAUAUGUCAGCUACAUGUAUUAAAGGGCAUGCCUCAACAAUCCUGACAAUUUUCUCAGGAAUGCAAGUAUUUAAUGUGAUUGAAUCUGUUUAUUUAUAUAUGCAUGUUAGUAUGUGUGUGCUUAUAAAUAUGUGAUCUUUGUUACUUUCUAAGGUUUUUGAUCAACAGAACAAAUCUCUGUUGAUUAUUGAUCCAAUGAGAGAGAACAAAACAACGUGCUAGCUAAUUUUUAAAUUGGGGACGUAAGUAAGCAUAAGACAUUAAUUGAAUUGUAGAAUGAUGUGAAUAACUCAUUUAAGAUUUAAAAAUAAAGGUUAAGUUAGAAUUGUUUUUAUAAUUAUUUUUUUAAAACUAAUUACUUGACACAUAGAGAACAUGAUGCAGAAGGGUGGAAAAUUGAUACCAUCCACCACUCCAAGCAACAGGACAGUGUUUCUUGUGGAGUUUAUUGCAUGAAGUUUGCAGAAGCAGUUGUUUUGAAAACAUCACUACAUCUUCAGAAGGACACUGUGCAGGAAAUGAGAUGCAACAGUAUGAAGACCAUCAUAAAUAAUCAAGAUGAGGACACUAGCAAUUUAUGCAGACGUUGCUACAGACAUGAACCCCCAAAUAUCAAAGUGAAAAGCAUCAAGUGGGUUCAAUGUGAUGGAUGUGCCAUUUCUUGGUAUCACGUUGUGUGUUUGAAUUUAAAACAAGUCAGAGAAUCAACUUUGUUUUGUGUGAUAUUUGCAAAAUGUCUGAGUAGUUAAUGUUAAUGUCAAUUACAGAUAUGUGUAUAACUUUUCUGCUAUGAUUAUUCAUAUUUUCCUGUGCAAGUUUUUAUCUAUUUAUUUAUUUUUUUAAGCUAAGCAACAAAUUCGUCUAUGUGCCGUGCAGUGUGAUAUCAAUGAUUUUUCAUCCCCAGCAUCAAAACGAAGUUGCAGAUGUUUGUUACUCAUUUACAUCUUAUUUGUCUAAUAGGUCAUAUGCUUCAUUUCAAAUAUAUUAAGGAAUUGUCAAAACUAUUGUAUUUAUGAAAACAUAACUGAAAUUAAAUUCAUAUUAUAUUAUAUAUUCCGAUUUUGUAACAAUUAGAUUGUAUAAUAUUUCAAAAUUUAUGGCAUGUGAUUUUUUUUUUUGGUCCUUAAUGAGAACAAGAAAAAGUGUUGCUUGCCAUUGUUAAUAGGAAAGAAAUCCACUGGAUUUUGUUGGUAAACUGAUUCUUACAUAUAAAGUGAAUUUAAUAUUUUUGGCUAUGACUGGAUCAUAGCUGAUUCAAACAAAAGUUCAAACAAAAUUAAUAUGUCAGCUACAUGUAUUAAAGGGCAUGCCUCAACAAUCCUGACAAUUUUCUCAGGAAUGCAAGUAUUUAAUGUGAUUGAAUCUGUUUAUUUAUAUAUGCAUGUUAGUAUGUGUGUGUUUAUAAAUAUGUGAUCUUUGUUACUUUCUAAGGUUAUUGAUCAACAGAACAAAUCUCUGUUGAUUAUUGAUCCAAUGGGAGAGAACAAAACGACGUGCCAGCUAAUUUUUAAACUGUGGACGUAAGUAAGCAUAAGACAUUAAUUGAAUUGUAGAAUGAUGUGAAUAACACAUUUAAGAUUUAAAAAUAAAGGUUGAGUUAGAAUUGUUUUUAUAAUUUUUUUUUUAAAACUAAUUACUUGACACAUAGAGAACAUGAUGCAGAAGGGUGGAAAAUUGAUACCAUCCACCACUCCAAGCAACAGGACAGUGAUUCUUGUGGAGUUUAUUGCAUGAAGUUUGCAGAAGCAGUUGUUUUGAAAACAUCACUACAUCUUCCGGAGGACACUGUGCAGGAAAUGAGAUGCAACAUUAUGAAGACCAUCAUAAAUAAUCAAGAUGAGGACACUAGCAAUUUAUGCAGACGUUGCUAAAGACAUGAACCCCCAAAUAUCAAAGUGAAAAGCAUCAAGUGGGUUCAAUGUGAUGGAUGUGCCAUUUCUUGGUAUCACGUUGUGUGUUUGAAUUUAAAACAAGUCAGAGAAUCAACUUUGUUUUGCGUGAUAUUUGCAAAAUGUCUGAGUAGUUAAUGUUAAUGUCAAUUACAGAUAUGUGUAUAACUUUUCUGCUAUGAUUAUUCAUAUUUUCCUGUGCAAGUUUUUAUCUAUUUAUUUAUUUUUUUAAGCUAAGCAACAAAUUCGUCUAUGU
This is a long non-coding RNA of Magallana angulata, 2160 nucleotides long. RefSeq lists it as uncharacterized. NCBI's taxonomy places the organism in Eukaryota, Metazoa, Mollusca, Bivalvia, Ostreida, Ostreidae. The transcript has 7 exons. The record is from RefSeq and is a predicted model, not a curated record.